CUCUAAAAAGUAUUAUAAAUGUACAUUUGCCUUCCAAGCAAAAAGACUAGAAAAAUCUAGGUUAGAGA
This 68-nucleotide transfer RNA is filed under the name Asteronotus hepaticus. RNAcentral's name for it is "tRNA-Gly". The record is from RNAcentral. Lineage: Eukaryota; Metazoa; Mollusca; Gastropoda; Nudibranchia; Asteronotidae.